This is a long non-coding RNA of Nerophis ophidion (straightnose pipefish), 1575 nucleotides long. RefSeq lists it as uncharacterized. Lineage: Eukaryota; Metazoa; Chordata; Actinopteri; Syngnathiformes; Syngnathidae. The record is from RefSeq and is a predicted model, not a curated record. The transcript is spliced from 7 exons.
ACAUGAUAUAGACAUCGUACCCAAAAGAAGAGCGAGAUGUAAUCCUGAGGCUGAAGCCACCGAGUUUAUGUGAUCUGGAUGUGACAAGUCUUGUUUUAAGGCCCAUUGGAUCAAUGAUUGGAAAGACACCAACUGUUGAUGUUCUAUCUCAACAUUCUCCAGAUUCAUGUGAGCGAUAAACCGACUUCAUCCCUCCAACAGACACCAACUGUUGGGGUUCUAUCUCAACAUUCUCCAGAUUCAGAUGUGAGCGAUAAACCGACUUCAUCCCUCCAACAGAAACCAACUGUUGAGGUUCCAUCUCAACAUUCUCCAGAUUCAGAUGUGAGCCAUUAACUGACUUCAUCCCUCCAACAGAAACCAACUGUUGAGGUUCUAUCUCAACAUUCUCUAGAUUCAGAUGACAGCCAUAAACCGACUUCAUCCCUCCAACAGAUUGACAGCAGGACAAAUCGCUGGAAGUGGGUAUGUCUCAAGCUUCUUCCACUUGGUCCACUCCAAAGCGGGCUGCAAAGGGGAAGAAGUGGAAGCAGUUGAAUGACACAUGUUGCAUUUUGUAACUGGCAACAAAGUACCAGGUAAAAAAGAUUGUGAAGCCUCCCUCCAUAAAGAACUAGUAACUCUACAGGACAGAGAUUGGCUUGACAUCAAGUACUACAUCCAUAACAGAAUUAUAUUUAAAAAAGGAAAAAAAAUGUUUUCCCACAUCUUCUGUGGUAGUUUGAGUAUGUUACCAGCAAUUAAAAAAGCAAAAUAAACAGCAAGCGUUUUGUAUUUAUUCCAGAUAAUUCUUAGCGACAAAAUCCACAAAAACAAUUCAGUUACACUUAAUCGACAAUUACAUUUUUACCCAUGUUUCUUUUAAACUCUUCUUGGUUUUAGAUUACAGUAGCAUGGGAUGGGGAUUUUUUUUUAAAUGACAACACAUCAACUAAACCAACUCAGGUGGUUUUGUUAAGUCUCUGAUGUCAUUAGCCUCAUAUGUCACAUGAACCUGAAAUCUUAAACACUCUGUGACGUCAUGGUUGUCAUAUUUCACAAACUUGAAAUCUUAAACACUCUGUGACGUCAUGGUCAUCAUAUGUCACAUGAACCUGAAAUCUUAAACACUCUGUGACGUCAUGGUUGUCAUAUUUCACAAACUUGAAAUCUUAAACACUCUGUGACGUCAUGGUUGUCAUAUUUCACAAACUUGAAAUCUUAAACACUCUGUGACGUCAUGGUCAUCAUAUGUCACAUAAACUUGAAAUCUUAAACACUCUGUGACGUCAUGGUCAUCAUAUGUCACAUGAACCUGAAAUCUUAAACACUCGGUGACGUCAUGGUCAUCAUAUGUCACAUAAACUUGAAAUCUUAAACACUCUGGUCUUCAUUUAUCACCUAAACCUGACAAGUCCUCAUAUGUACCAUAAAAAUCAGGUUCAGAAAAAAACAAAAGAGUUGCAAAAAUCUCAAUAGACCACUGUGUUUCUAAAAUUCUGGUUCACUAACCGUCUGAUUCCCAGGCCUGCAGGACCAUUGGAAAGGCAUGUCCCUAUAUGUCACGUUUUUGUCAUAAGUCCUCAUAUGUCACCC